RNAcentral lists this ribosomal RNA (429 nucleotides) under uncultured Devosia sp. RNAcentral's name for it is "bacterial SSU rRNA". It matches the Rfam family "Bacterial small subunit ribosomal RNA", at positions 29 to 505 of the family's 1533-position model. The record is from RNAcentral. Lineage: Bacteria; Pseudomonadati; Pseudomonadota; Alphaproteobacteria; Hyphomicrobiales; Devosiaceae.
AACGAACGCUGGCGGCAGGCUUAACACAUGCAAGUCGAACGCCCCUUCGGGGGAGUGGCAGACGGGUGAGUAACGCGUGGGAAUCUACCCAGUUCUACGGAACAACAGUUGGAAACGACUGCUAAUACCGUAUACGCCCUACGGGGGAAAGAUUUAUCGGAAUUGGAUGAGCCCGCGUAAGAUUAGCUAGUUGGUGGGGUAAUGGCCUACCAAGGCGACGAUCUUUAGCUGGUCUGAGAGGAUGAUCAGCCACACUGGGACUGAGACACGGCCCAGACUCCUACGGGAGGCAGCAGUGGGGAAUAUUGGACAAUGGGCGCAAGCCUGAUCCAGCCAUGCCGCGUGAGUGAUGAAGGCCUUAGGGUUGUAAAGCUCUUUCAGUAGGGAAGAUAAUGACGGUACCUACAGAAGAAGCCCCGGCUAACUUCG